This 224-nucleotide ribosomal RNA is filed under the name uncultured bacterium. RNAcentral describes it as "partial 16S ribosomal RNA". It matches the Rfam family "Bacterial small subunit ribosomal RNA", at positions 28 to 251 of the family's 1533-position model. The record is from RNAcentral.
GACGAACGCUGGCGGCGUGCUUAACACAUGCAAGUCGAGCGGUAAGGCCCUUUCGGGGGUACGACGAGCGGCGAACGGGUGAGUAACACGUGGGUGACCUGCCCUCAGCUCUGGGAUAAGCCUGGGAAACCGGGGUCUAGUACUGGAUAUGACUCCAUGACGCAUGUUGUGGGGUGGAAAGCCUUGUGCGGCUGAGGAUGGGCCCGCGGCCUAUCAGCUUGUUU